UCUAUUUUGUCUAUUGAUACCGUUGUAAAAUUCUUUGAUAUAAUUAAUAUUUGCCCUUACUUUUUGUAUCUGAAUGUAUAACUAUUUAUAUUAAAGAAUUUUACAACAAUUGCAAAGCUGUAUUUUCCGCUAAACGCAGCAAAUUUUUGAUGAUAUAUGAACAGUGGCUCUAAAUCUUUAUAUGUUUGAAAUUGUGAAAUUAACAUUUAAUUAUUAUAUAUCAAAGAAAUUUUUUUAUUUUUUUUUAUUCGUUAGGGAUUAAAUAUGUGAUUAAUUAUUUAAAAACAAUGUAUAAUUUUAAGUUGAUCUUUAUGAUUCAGAGUAGCUGUCUUAUGUAUUAUAGGCCUGCUUUUUAUUGCUGAAGUAGUGCACAUUCAGCGUUAAAAAUAAUAUUUAGGUAUAUGUUUAAAAUUUGAUGAAAGCAAAAAAGAAAAGCUAGUGCAGUCCAAUGCAGCAAAAAAAACAAAUCCUACUCGUAUACUUAAUUUUCUGAUACAAUACAAACGUUUUUUUUUUAUUAAAAUAAUUUUAUAUGUUUAAGUGUAAUUUAUAAUAAAAACUUUCUUAAAUUCUUUAUAUACAUACUUAGAUAUUAUAUAUAGUCUGGAUUAACCCUCCGUAGGCAGUCUUGGUUUUUUUUGUUUAAAGCAAAAUUCUUAAUCUCAAAUUUCUUUGCUCAAAUUCAAAUCUUUAUUAAAUAACACUAAAGGAGUUUUAACAUUAAAGGAGUUAGUUAUUUGAUAAUGUAGGAAUGCGGAAAAGUAUUAUAACCGUGAACUUUUCUAUUUUUCCUUAGCUUUUCUAGUUUGUGUCAUAUGACACAGAGAGACGGUCAAAGGACGUCCUUAGGCUCGUCUUAGGAUUUAGACAUCUCAAGAACGUCGUUUGAAUACAGUGUGCUGUGUGGACGACUUAAAAUUACGUCCAUUGCUGGCUUCACAUUUUGGACGUGUUCGUCUGUCGACAAUGACGACCUCAAAAUAUAAAAUUGUGGAGUUCGACGAGGGGAUAGAAAUGAUUCCAACGACAUGGCUUAAUCAUGACCAAACAAUAGCUUCUUGGCCUCUUUACCAAAAUCAAAUAAAAAUUAAUAAAGCUAUUUCCAAUAUGAAGACGCCAAAAGAAGAUUGGAAACAAUGUAAAAUUAAGAAGAUAUGCAGAUUCAUACGAACAAGCAGUUGAUAAAGUUGCAAUGGCUAUGGAGCUUUUUGAUAUAGAAUCUAUUACUCCGGAAGAAUAUAAAAAAAGUAGACGUACGAGCUAAAGUGCGGCAUUCAGAUGAUGCUUACAGUUCUCAUGAUUCUUCGGAUAAAGUUCCAGUAAGAAAACGCAAUACUUCUAAAGUAUUACCACCAUUCCCAAUCGUACCAAAUAAAGGUAAAACGUCAAAAUCGAAAAGUUGUGACAACAUUAUGCGAAAAGAAAAAUCCAAUGUGAAAAACAUGAAGCCACAAGAUUCUUAACUUAAUUCACCGACACAGAAAUCUGACGACGAGGAUGACAUUAAUUAUGACGAAAUUGAAAAAGACGAUUGCGUAAGAAAAGAAAAUUUAGAAUCAAAUAUUGCUCUUGAAAGUGUACCAUCGACAUCGUCAAUGCGAAAACAGGAUCCAUUAAAAAAAAUAAUUAAAAAAAUUGAGGAGCAACAAGAUAAACCUAUCAAAAUUGUUUGAAGAACUAAAAAAAAAACAGAGCAACCGUGACUGUAAGCAAGAAUCAACCUCAUUAUAAACUAAUACAACAGUAGACAUUUGCAAAUUUGCAGAAAGUCUACCGUUAAAAAAUGAGGAAAAUUUACAGAAAAUAGAAAUAAAUCUUUAAACAGAAGAGUUUCGUACAAAAUGGGUAUGAUACUUAAUGAAACUUUUUUUUACAAUGAUUAUUAAUUAUUUUAAUGUUGUAAUUGUAUAAAAAUAAAAAAACUGUUUUAGCACAGUUUUGUAAUUGUAAAUAUAACUAAGUAAACGGUAAUUUUUUAAAAUUAUCUUUGCAACUUUACUUUCUGUAAUUGUUGCUUUAAAAUUUUGAAAUAUAUCAUAAUCGGAUAAUUUAAAUAUGUUUGUAUAUAUUAAUUAUGACAUGUGUCACAUAAAAUAAUUUGUAUUAUUAAUUAUUAUACCAUAAAUAAUCCAACUGUAAACAGGCUCUUAAGUGUUUCUUGUUAUAUCCGUAAUAAAUAUAAUUGUCGACAAAUAAAAUGAUACAAUUACUGAUAAGCUGUUACAGACACAAUGUUCCAAAUUAACGAUUCUUUUUAAGACAAUGAGAAUAGGUCCAAACAAAAAACGGUACUAUCAGAAUGACUAUUAUUCUUUAUUAAAACAUAUUUUUAUCUACGAAAAUAAUACGUUAUAUGCACGUUAUAUUUCAUCUCAUAAUUUAUGAAAUUUCGCCACGGUUACGAUCAUUUAAAAUUCUUAGGCCCGAUCUUUCAUUAUCCGGUUAACUUGUGGUUAAACUUAACCUAAUGUUUUAUCCAAUGAGCUUCACUCAUGAUGAUGCCAUAAGUGAAGCUCAUUGGUUGAAACUCCAAGUUAGGUUUAACUACAAGUUAACCAGAUAAUGAAAAACCGGGCCUUAAUGUACCAGUAAAAUGAAAUCAGCAAAAUGAAAUCAGCCGAUUUUUGUAAAUUUAUAUUCUUUUAAAGCUUUUACUAAUAAAUACAAAUAAUUUUUCUAAUAAUGAAGUAUCCUAGCUAGGGCUUCUUUGACGUUUAUGUAUUAAAAACAAGAAUCGGUAAUCCUGCCUGGACGUCAAUGUCUCUAUACAAAGGUAUUUUGUAUGACUAUAGUUCAUAAAAUAAAGCAAUCACUUUUGUUUGAGUUUGUAUCUUCACUUGUAUGUAUCCGAGGAAACGUAAUUGUUAUUGUCAUUGCUCUAUUUUGUUGAUGUAAAAAUUGUAAACUAUAUAUAAUCUGUUUAUAUAUGUAGACACACAACACAUAUAUAAUACAGAGUAUAUAUGUGACACACAUAAUGUUCACAUUUCUGCAUUUGCAAAAACUAAUUUACGCUAUCUUUUCAUUAUAACUGCUUCCAAUGUUACAAUUUACGGUAAGAAAAUUUUUAUGUAAGAACAUAUAUAAUAUAAAUAUAUACAGACAUAUAUAAAUAAAUUUAUUUACAUACGAAAUAUAAAUAAAUAUAAAGCAACAUAUAUAAAACACACACACAUAUGUGUGUGAAGUGUUGUGUGUGUGUGUGUGUGUAUUUGAAGCAACAGUCAUUGUAUUAUAGGGACUCUAAUAUUGCUACAUUAAACUUUCUUAGUGCUUGAUUUAUCUUAUAAUUAUCUGAUAAAGAUAUAGCUGCUUUUUUUAAGUCUACUGAAAAUCUUUCUUGAUUCAAUUUUCAUACAGAUUAUUUAAAUUUAUAUAUUUCUGUAAUAAUGUUUUUCAUCGAAUUGAAUAAACAUAUGACAUUGUAUUGAUUGCACAAAUAUCAAUUGCUAUGUUGAACUUUCUUCCGAGUUGUUGUGUCUAAUUUACAUUUACUGUAAGUGUAUUGUCCCUAAAUAUUAUACAUUAUAAAACAAUAUUAACCAAACAUCACUUUCCAAAUUAAAGAAAAUGUGACUUUGAGUACAUAACAUUCUUAUUAAAACAAUUAUUAAUAUUUAAUUUAAGCAAAUUUUAAGUAUACGUACAUUAUGUUCAAAUUUUAAUACGUUUGUUCUAUGUCAAAUAUGUUGUGGGAUAAAAUGGAUAAUUUAAGUAAAGAAGUUCAUGAAUUUAAAAUUGAAAGCAAACAACAAUAUAAUAAGUGUAUGUCAAAAAUGAAGGAACUAUUUGCAAUCUUAAAAGAGAAAUUCCCAAAUAACGAGAUCGAAAACGAAAACAGUGACUUAAUAUUGCUCAUUGUUGCCCGAUUUCCCAUUAUUAUCUAUAGAAGAAUUUUGGGAAUUUUGGGAAUUUAAUAAUAGAUUAAAAACGAUGAAGCAAUUCGUAAAUUACUUGUAAGUAUUAUUACUUAUUGUACACUUUAUAUCUUCUACACUUUUUUUACGUAUAUAAUUUUUCACCGGCUGAAAUAGUUCUAUGAAAUCAAGAACAUGUACUUUUUUCAUAUUUAAAUAAUACUAUUUGAAUAUUUUUGACAGACGCAAACUAUUAUGCAAAUAGGUGGUGAUACAAGCCAAAAAAUAAUCUCCAAUAUCUUGACACAUACAAUGGCAUAUGAAUUAGGACACAAAAUGUCUUGGACCGGUGCCAAAGGAUCGAUUGCUAUCAAAGAUACUCUGUUUAUUCACAUUAUAAUUAGUGUAGUUAAUGCCAAAGAUAAUGGAAAGAUUAAUAGUAUCGCAGAGAUUAAGAAACACAUAUCGUUUAAGAUACAAAUAUCGAUGCACAUGGCAACAUAUCGAUGACACAAUAAAUGCAGAUGCAAUUUUUAGACGACUGAUCGUAAUGGUUUUCAUUUUUCUCCGUGCAUACAUAUUUUUUUUACAAGCACACAUCCCUCAUAGAACUCCGUCCGCUGUAGUUGAAUUUUCAUAUACGAUUCUUUUGGCAAAUUUAAAAUGAAAUAGUGGCUACUUUAAUUGCGUUUCAGUUUAAUAUUCCAUCACGCAAUUUAUUAGAAAGGCUCUGAAGAAGUAAAUCAAACUGAAUAAAUGCCGUGAGAACCAACACAAGAUGUUUAUGUGAGAAUUAAUGUAAUUGACAAACAAUUAUUAGACGUUUUGAUCCGCUGGUUUGGAUCAUUCUUAUUGUUAGUGUAAACUUAUUAUUCCAUAUGCUAUGAUAAUCAGGCUUGUGUAACGCAGGUACAAAAAUGGAUAGUCGAAAAUGAUGCAGUACAAUUGUAGUCAGUGUGACCAUUCAAAAAACUUGCCACAAUGACACAGACCGCAAUGUAUCACACUGCAAUUGUACUGCAUUAUUUGUAACUGACAAUUUUUGUACCUGUGCUACACAAGCCUGAUUAUCGUCGCAUGUGGAAUAAUAAGUUUAUACUGAAGAUGAUCCAAAUCAGAGGAUUGAAACAUCUAAUAAUUGUUUGUCAAUUACACUAAUUCUCUCAUGAACAUCUUGUGUUGGCUCUCACGACAUUUAUUCAUAGUUACAUUUAUUUUUAUAUAAUACUUUUAUGUAACAUUUUUACACGCAUUUUUAAGUAGAUAUAUUCAAAUUCAUGUAUUUAAAAAACUUUAGCUCUUACAAAAUUCUUAUAAUCUUUCGAAGUUAAUACCUAGAAAUAAAUAAAAGUGAGACUAAUACACUUCAAUAUUGUUUACAUUUUGACAUUUACAAAUGUGUGUGAAGUUGGCCCCGCACUUUUCAAAUUUUGUAUUUUUCUUAAUUAUACUGCUUUGGGCUACGUUUGUGUUGACUCGUGCCAUAAGAAAAAAGUUGACAACUCAAAUAAAAAUUACAAAAAAGAAAUUAAUAAUAUUAAUUACCAGCUCCGCAUUUUUUCGCGACACUGUUCAAAUAUAAAUAUAUGAAAUAUAAAUAAUUUGCAAUGGUUGUAAUAUUUAAAGAAAUAUAGAUAUUCUGAGAGUUAUGGUUUUAUAUUGAGGUAUAGCUGAAGUAAAAACAAGAGAUAAUGAUCUCUAAAAGCUUAAAUAUUGAUAAAAAUUAAAAAAAAGAGGAGGGGUAAGUAAAAAAUUUACAUUUUUGAAAUUUCUUCAGUUGUGCCGGAUUGUGCUAGAGUAGCACAACAACUAUUCUUAAUGACAACAUUUCUGCAGAGCAACAUACUUUGCAGUACAGACAAAUUUAUGGAGCAGACGUUAGGAAGUUACUAUCAAUAUAAACAGAAUUAAAAAGAAAAAAAAAUUAGGUGAACCUUUUAUUCAGAUACAUUACUUCUUUUUGUAUUAUUACAAUUUUCCGAUUACCAAUCAUUGGAAAUGGACUACCAAACGUCAGUAAGCAACCACCAAACGAAUGCUUACUGUUAUAAUUUCUUAUGCAGUCUGCAAAGCCAAAUUUUACAAAAAGGGGGCCAACUUCACGCAAGUAUGUCUUUUUUUUUAUAUUAUUAAUUAUAAUUUCGACUACCAAUCGUCGGGAAUGGACUACCAAACUCCACCAAACGACCACCAAUCGAAUAGUAAUAUUCGUUACUAGAUUUUUAAUAGUGGGGGGGCCAACUUCACGCAGCUCGAGCAGUGCCAAAUGAUACGUAUAGGGACCUGCUGAAAAAUUAUUCUCACAUUACUUUUACAUAAUUUUUCAGAAUAUCUGUAUAAUUUUAUAGUUUUUUCAGAUUUUUUUAUAGGAAUUAGA
This is a long non-coding RNA of Solenopsis invicta (red fire ant), 6234 nucleotides long. RefSeq lists it as uncharacterized. The record is from RefSeq and is a predicted model, not a curated record. NCBI's taxonomy places the organism in Eukaryota, Metazoa, Arthropoda, Insecta, Hymenoptera, Formicidae. The transcript is spliced from 6 exons.